CCUACGGGUGGCAGCAGUGGGGAAUAUUGGACAAUGGGCGAAAGCCUGAUCCAGCCAUGCCGCUUGUGUGAAGAAGGCCUUCGGGUUGUAAAGCACUUUCAGUGGGGAAGAAAGCCUUGGGGCUAAUACCCUCGAGGAAGGACAUCACCCACAGAAGAAGCACCGGCUAACUCCGUGCCAGCAGCCGCGGUAAUACGGAGGGUGCGAGCGUUAAUCGGAAUUACUGGGCGUAAAGCGCGCGUAGGCGGUCUGAUAAGCCGGUUGUGAAAGCCCCGGGCUCAACCUGGGAACGGCAUCCGGAACUGUCAGGCUAGAGUGCAGGAGAGGAAGGUAGAAUUCCCGGUGUAGCGGUGAAAUGCGUAGAGAUCGGGAGGAAUACCAGUGGCGAAGGCGGCCUUCUGGACUGACACUGACGCUGAGGUUCGAAAGCGUGGGUAGCAAACAGGAUUAGAUACCCCUGUAGUC
RNAcentral lists this ribosomal RNA (465 nucleotides) under Vreelandella stevensii. Its description in RNAcentral is "partial 16S ribosomal RNA". It matches the Rfam family "Bacterial small subunit ribosomal RNA", at positions 338 to 795 of the family's 1533-position model. Lineage: Bacteria; Pseudomonadati; Pseudomonadota; Gammaproteobacteria; Oceanospirillales; Halomonadaceae. The record is from RNAcentral.